RNAcentral lists this ribosomal RNA (207 nucleotides) under uncultured bacterium. RNAcentral describes it as "partial 16S ribosomal RNA". It matches the Rfam family "Bacterial small subunit ribosomal RNA", at positions 568 to 774 of the family's 1533-position model. The record is from RNAcentral.
UGCGUAGGCGGCGACUUAAGUAGGAUGUGAAAUCUCCCGGCUCAACCGGGGAACUGCGUUCUAAACUGGGUUGCUUGAGUGAGAUAGAGGUGUGCGGAACUUCCGGUGGAGCGGUGAAAUGUGUUGAUAUCGGAGGGAACACCGUUGGCGGAAGCGGCACACUGGGUCUUAACUGACGCUGAGGCACGAAAGCCAGGGGAGCAAACG